UACGUAGGGGGCAAGCGUUAUCCGGAUUUACUGGGUGUAAAGGGAGCGUAGGCGGCGAUGCAAGUCAGAAGUGAAAGCCCGGGGCUCAACUCCGGGACUGCUUUUGAAACUGUGUUGCUAGAUUGCAGGAGAGGUAGUGGAAUUCCUAGUGUAGCGGUGAAAUGCGUAGAUAUUAGGAGGAACACCAGUGGCGAAGGCGGCUUACUGGACUGUAAAUGACGCUGAGGCUCGAAAGCGUGGGGAGCAAACAGG
This 252-nucleotide ribosomal RNA is filed under the name uncultured bacterium. Its description in RNAcentral is "partial 16S ribosomal RNA". It matches the Rfam family "Bacterial small subunit ribosomal RNA", at positions 524 to 776 of the family's 1533-position model. The record is from RNAcentral.